GCGAGGGUCGGCCAAAGCUUGCCUUAGACACCAUCAGAAAUGGCCAGGUAAGCGGGCUCCCAAUUAAAAAUCACCGGUCUGGUUUACCUUAGACACCAACUGAUUUAAUUAGUUUCGAUUAGAUCAACCUAACAGUUCGUGCUAGACCGCUUUGCCAAGAAUCAAGUCCAUUUGGUUCUCGUUAAAGACAUGGACUUGACCAACUACAACUAUUGUAAUUGAUCUAGAAAAUCCUUGACCUAAUCUAAGACAACAAUUGAUUAGAUUUAGUCAAUUCUCUAAUUAAGUCCAUCUUUAAUCUAACCAUAGGUCUAACCCAAUUAAUGGACCUAAUUCUCACUAACCCAUUAACCCAAUGUGUUAUGGUUUGUGUCUUAGGUUC
Molecule: long non-coding RNA, 382 nt
Filed under: Elaeis guineensis (African oil palm)
Lineage: Eukaryota; Viridiplantae; Streptophyta; Magnoliopsida; Arecales; Arecaceae
Description: long non-coding RNA (EGUI_LNC069076)
Source: RNAcentral